GCUCUGAAUUAGGCACACCUUAUUCUACAAGCCUAUGUUUUUAUGCCCCAGCAAUUACCAGAAGCACCUACAUUAAUAAAUGACAAAAAAUGGAGCUUUAUAACAAAACUCUCAAAUGUUAAAUUCCACAUAUGAAUAUACAUGCACAAAAUCUAAAUCUAAAAUUUGCUUCUUUUUUUUUUUGCUCCUUCCCCCCAAUUUAAUAAAAGGAAAAAAGAUCACCUAGAAAUCAAAAUUCUUGCAAAGUGUGCUUAGCUAGAAAAUUCCCAAGAUCCAGACACUUACAAGGGCCAAACAAACUGUACAUGCUUGAGGAUCUUGGAGAGGCACUAGCUGUUGCCACAGUUAUUUCUUAUCUACUCAUUGGAUG
RNAcentral lists this long non-coding RNA (370 nucleotides) under Manihot esculenta (cassava). Its description in RNAcentral is "long non-coding RNA (MESC_LNC009569)". The record is from RNAcentral. Lineage: Eukaryota; Viridiplantae; Streptophyta; Magnoliopsida; Malpighiales; Euphorbiaceae.